Molecule: ribosomal RNA, 451 nt
Filed under: uncultured bacterium
Lineage: Bacteria
Description: partial 16S ribosomal RNA
Rfam family: Bacterial small subunit ribosomal RNA
Source: RNAcentral
GUGGGGAAUAUUGGACAAUGGGGGGAACCCUGAUCCAGCCAUGCCGCGUGUGUGAAGAAGGCCUUUUGGUUGUAAAGCACUUUAAGCGAGGAGGAGGCUACCGAGAUUAAUACUCUUGGAUAGUGGACGUUACUCGCAGAAUAAGCACCGGCUAACUCUGUGCCAGCAGCCGCGGUAAUACAGAGGGUGCAAGCGUUAAUCGGAUUUACUGGGCGUAAAGCGCGCGUAGGUGGCCAAUUAAGUCAAAUGUGAAAUCCCCGAGCUUAACUUGGGAAUUGCAUUCGAUACUGGUUGGCUAGAGUAUGGGAGAGGAUGGUAGAAUUCCAGGUGUAGCGGUGAAAUGCGUAGAGAUCUGGAGGAAUACCGAUGGCGAAUGCAGCCAUCUGGCCUAAUACUGACACUGAGGUGCGAAAGCAUGGGGAGCAAACAGGAUUAGAAACCCGUGUAGUCC